Molecule: ribosomal RNA, 216 nt
Filed under: Glomeromycotina sp.
Lineage: Eukaryota; Fungi; Glomeromycota
Description: partial small subunit ribosomal RNA
Rfam family: Eukaryotic small subunit ribosomal RNA (bases 40-216)
Source: RNAcentral
GGGUCAGUAGGCUGGUCGUGCCACCGGUACGUACUGGUCUCACUGAUUCCUCCUUCCUGAAGAACCGUAAUGCCAUUAAUUUGGCGUUGCGGGGAAACAGGACUGUUACUUUGAAAAAAUUAGAGUGUUCAAAGCAAGCUAACGCUUGAAUACAUUAGCAUGGAAUAAUGAAAUAGGACGAUCGAUCCUAUUUUGUUAGUUUCUAGGAUUGACGUA